Molecule: long non-coding RNA, 507 nt
Organism: Mauremys reevesii (Reeves's turtle)
Lineage: Eukaryota; Metazoa; Chordata; Testudines; Geoemydidae
Exons: 4
Source: RefSeq, a predicted model, not a curated record
GGGGGUCCCACUACCACUGCCUUAAAUGCUCAGAUCAAGCUGCUCCAUCUUGGCAACUUUGGCCCCAACUCCAUAAAUGUUGCCCUCAAAAUCGAGAACAAAUGCCUCUACUACUCCAUCAUCAAAAGGGUUAACGGACUUUUAAUGGACGCUGACUGGAGCCGCCAGGGUCCCUUUUCGACCAGAUAUUCCAGUUGAAAACCAGAUGCCUGGCAACCCUAAAUGGGGUAUUGUCAGGAUAAAAACAUCAAAGAUUAUGAAGUCCUCAUAUCCUGCAGUAAUGGGGGCCAUGGAAACAAGAAAAAUCCACUCUGAAUGGAGCCUUCCUCUGAGUUUUCCAGGAUCAUAUGUCAACUGGAACCAGUUAGUUGCAAAGGCUGAAUCUCCACUGACCUCGUGAUUUCUCAGUACAGGGAGAUGUGCUAAAGAUUCCGUUUCAGCCUAAACUUUGAAUAUACCUGCUCGUGGGCUUAAGCGUGAACCCUAAGGGAUACAUUUUCAAAGCAG